AUUUUUUCUGGAGAUUUGUCACAGAUGGACUUUCUAUAGGACCUAUUUUGCUGACAGGAUUUAUCACCACUUUAGCUACUUCAGCGGCUCGGCCGGUUACUCGAGAUUCCCGAUUAUUCCAUUUCCUGAUGUUAGCAAUGUAUAGUGGUCAAAUAUGAUCAUUUUCUUCUCGAGACCUUUUACUUUUUUUCAUCAUGUGGGAGUUAGAAUUAAUUCCCAUUUAUCUACUUCUAUCUGUGUGUGUGUGUGGGGGGGGGGGGGGGGGGAAACGUUUAUAUUCAGCUGCAAAGUUUAUUUUGUACACUGCAGGAAGUUUCGUUUUUUUAUUAAUGGGAGUUCUGAGUAUCGGUUUAUAUGGUUCCAAUGAACCAACAUUCAAUUUU
Long non-coding RNA from Juglans microcarpa x Juglans regia, 383 nucleotides. RefSeq lists it as uncharacterized. The record is from RefSeq and is a predicted model, not a curated record. The transcript has 3 exons. NCBI's taxonomy places the organism in Eukaryota, Viridiplantae, Streptophyta, Magnoliopsida, Fagales, Juglandaceae.